GAAUGCUUUUGUGUUGAGUGAUUGGUUGAUGUGAUUUGCACUUCAGGGCCACCGUAAGCUAGCCUAGUGUGCAUCACGAUGGAUGACAUUGAGGCGAAGUAGUCGCUUUUUCUGUUCUCCCUGGAUGAUCCGACUGGAUUAUUUCAACGCACUCAAUGUUUUGCAAAAGAAACAACAGGCCUGCAACGUUUUUUCUUUUUUUGAUUUUGGGGUUCCGUACCAGUCUAACAGGAAGUCAGAACCGAAGGCGCAUCAGACUUUGAAUGCCCAUAAGCAACUACUUUGUACAACUACAGGACACCUGGCCAUACAGAGCAUGGCACAUUCUGACUGCUAAUCUGGACCCCCACCCCCAGCUGACAACGUGCCACAACACGAGAUGGACGUGGAGAAGUGAAGAUGAUCAAAGAGUAUGAGGUAUCUUAUGAUCAUCAUGACCAUAUUUCAAUGAUUGACUAGCCUUGUAAUAUGGUUUUUACUUGUGAUAUUUUAUUGAAGGUAAAAUAUUCUUUACACGUAAUUUUUUUAAAGAGAAAAUAGGUGCAUAUUUUUUCUAUUAAGUUUUUAACUGAUUUCUUAUGCAUUUUAUUCUCUUACCCUUUUUAAAUUAUCUUUAGCUGUUGAUGAAUUAUUACUGUUAUUUUAGGAGCAUAAUUCUAUUUCAGUUAUACCUUUUUUACCCCCUGAUUUGAUCCCUCAGUUUUUUUUUUCGUUUUUUUUUUGGCUCCAGUGUUUUUCCUUUCACACUGGGAAUAGU
Oryzias latipes (Japanese medaka) is the source of this 757-nucleotide long non-coding RNA. RefSeq lists it as uncharacterized. The record is from RefSeq and is a predicted model, not a curated record. Lineage: Eukaryota; Metazoa; Chordata; Actinopteri; Beloniformes; Adrianichthyidae.